Molecule: long non-coding RNA, 521 nt
Filed under: Lupinus angustifolius (narrow-leaved blue lupine)
Lineage: Eukaryota; Viridiplantae; Streptophyta; Magnoliopsida; Fabales; Fabaceae
Description: long non-coding RNA (LANG_LNC002255)
Source: RNAcentral
GACUACAUAUUCACACAUGCAUGCAUGCAUUAGACCAUAUCAUAUUUAUAUUAUAUAUAUCAUUCAUCUAUACUAAAAUCACAUAGCAGAAUAAAACAGUAAUGAUAUAUAAGGAUAUAUACCGAGCUAGAGCUUGAUGAGCUUCCAGAGCGUCGAAGCUCCCCGGUGGUUGCACCUCCACCAUAAGCGCCUGCACCAUAGGUUCCAAAUCCACUUGUAUUGGUUCCUGUGGUUUGUGCACCAUGAGUUCCAAUUCCACUUGCAUGGGUCCCUGAAGUUGGUACACCAUGGGUUCCAGGUACACCAUGGGUUCCAAACCCACUUGUAUGGGUUCCUGUGGUUGGUACACCGUGGGUUCCAAACCCACUUGUAUGGGUCCCUGUGGUUGGUGCAAAGGUCCCUGUGGUUGGUAUACCAUGGGUCCCUGUGGUUGGUGCACCGUAGGUCCCUGUGGUUCCAGCAGUAUGGGUUCCAGUGGUAGGAAUAGUGGCUGCGACACCAGUGACAUGGACAGGAUUGCC